Molecule: ribosomal RNA, 253 nt
Filed under: uncultured bacterium
Lineage: Bacteria
Description: partial 16S ribosomal RNA
Rfam family: Bacterial small subunit ribosomal RNA
Source: RNAcentral
UACGAAGGUCCCAAGCGUUGUUCGGAAUCACUGGGCGUAAAGCGCACGUAGGCGGCUUUCUAAGUCAGAGGUGAAAUCCCGGAGCUCAACUCCGGAACUGCCUUUGAUACUGGAGAGCUUGAGUUCGGGAGAGGUGAGUGGAACUGCGAGUGUAGAGGUGAAAUUCGUAGAUAUUCGCAAGAACACCAGUGGCGAAGGCGGCUCACUGGCCCGAUACUGACGCUGAGGCACGAAAGCGUGGGGAGCAAACAGG